RNAcentral lists this ribosomal RNA (491 nucleotides) under uncultured bacterium. RNAcentral describes it as "partial 16S ribosomal RNA". It matches the Rfam family "Bacterial small subunit ribosomal RNA", at positions 29 to 506 of the family's 1533-position model. The record is from RNAcentral.
AGUGAACGCUGGCGGUAGGCCUAACACAUGCAAGUCGAACGGCAGCACAGUAAGAGCUUGCUCUUACGGGUGGCGAGUGGCGGACGGGUGAGGAAUACAUCGGAAUCUACUUUUUCGUGGGGGAUAACGUAGGGAAACUUACGCUAAUACCGCAUACGACCUACGGGUGAAAGCAGGGGAUCUUCGGACCUUGCGCGAUUGAAUGAGCCGAUGUCGGAUUAGCUAGUUGGCGGGGUAAAGGCCCACCAAGGCGACGAUCCGUAGCUGGUCUGAGAGGAUGAUCGCCCACCCUGGAACUGGGACCCGGCCCAGCCCCCUACGGGGGGCAGCGGGGGGGAUUUUUGGACAAGGGGCGCAAGCCUGACCCAGCCAUCCCGCGGGGGUGAAGAAGGCCUUCGGGUUGUAAAGCCCUUUUUUUGGGAAAGAAAAGCAGCAGGUUAAUCCCCCGCUUUUCUGACGGUACCCAAAGAAUAAGCCCCGGCUAACUUCGU